Neltuma alba is the source of this 685-nucleotide long non-coding RNA. RefSeq lists it as uncharacterized. The transcript has 2 exons. The record is from RefSeq and is a predicted model, not a curated record. Lineage: Eukaryota; Viridiplantae; Streptophyta; Magnoliopsida; Fabales; Fabaceae.
CCCUAUAGCUAAAUCUCUCAUUCCUCUUCUAAGCUUCAUUCACAGAAAACCCUAGACAUCUAUCUCACUGUUUCUCAUUCAUCGAUCAUCAUCAACAAUCUUUCCUACCAGUUUGUCUAUAAAUAUAUAUAUAUAUAUCUGCUUCAACUUGAAGCUUCGUUGUUAUUAUUAUUCACAGCAAACCCUAUCUGGUCUAUCUCUCUGCUUAACCUGUCGUGAAAGAAGAAGAAGAAGCGAGCAGUAUGAGUUCUUCAAGCAUCAACAUCCAGAGCAUUUUGUCCCCUCAGCCUCCUCGUACUCAGGGCUCUAACAUCAGACCAGGCACUCGCAUCCCAAACACCAAGGAUCAUUUUUCCAAGAGUCGAUGAUGACUCAUUUCAUAAUUCCAUAUUUUCUCAGAUCAAUCUUGCAGAUGAAGCGAACGCCAUUAUAUUGAUUCUGCAGUUUAAGUAGUUGCUUAUGUGUGUGUGUAGGAUACAUCAAUAUGAUUGUAUUAUUUAUUAUUCUUUAUUUGUUCCUUUUUAUGUCUAUAUGUUUGAUUUGAUUAUUUGGUGGGUACCACAAACAUUGGAGUUUAAUGAUGUUCAUUUGAAAGCUGCUUAAUCCGUAAAUCUGUUUCCUUGUACUUUCUGUUUGUUUUUUGUGAUCAUUGGGAAUAAAAUAAGACAGUUCCGAUCCCUUCAUG